CCUACGGGGGGCAGCAGUGGGGAAUAUUGCACAAUGGGGGAAACCCUGAUGCAGCGACGCCGCGUGAGUGAAGAAGUCUCUCGGUAUGUAAAGCUCUAUCAGCAGGGAAGAAAAUUACGGUACCUGACUAAGAAUCCCCGGCUCGCUACGUUCCAGCGGCCGCGGUGAUACGUAGGGGGCAAGCGUUAUCCGGAUUUACUGGGUGUAAAGGGAGCGUAGACGGGGCUGCAAGUCCGAAGUGAAAGCCCAUGGCUUAACCAUGGUACUGCUCUGGAAACUGUGGGGCUUGAGUGCGGGAGGGGCAGACGGAAUUCCUAGUGUAGCGGUGAAAUGCGUAGAUAUUAGGAGGAACACCGGCGGCGAAGGCGGUCUGCUGGAGCGUAACUGACGUUGAGGCUCGAAAGCGUGGGGAGCAAACAGGAUUAGAUACCCCUGUAGUC
Molecule: ribosomal RNA, 440 nt
Filed under: uncultured bacterium
Lineage: Bacteria
Description: partial 16S ribosomal RNA
Rfam family: Bacterial small subunit ribosomal RNA
Source: RNAcentral